This 497-nucleotide ribosomal RNA is filed under the name uncultured bacterium. Its description in RNAcentral is "partial 16S ribosomal RNA". It matches the Rfam family "Bacterial small subunit ribosomal RNA", at positions 28 to 507 of the family's 1533-position model. The record is from RNAcentral.
GAUGAACGCUGGCGGCGUGCCUAAUACAUGCAAGUCGAGCGAACAGACGAGGAGCUUACUCCUCUGACGUUAGCGGCGGACGGGUGAGUAACACGUGGAUAACCUACCUAUAAGACUGGGAUAACUUCGGGAAACCGGAGCUAAUACCGGAUAACAUGUUGAACCGCAUGGUUCAACAGUGAAAGACGGUCUUGCUGUCACUUAUAGAUGGAUCCGCGUCGCAUUAGCUAGUUGGCAAGGUAACGGCUUACCAAGGCAACGAUGCGUAGCCGACCUGAGAGGGUGAUCGGCCACACUGGAACUGAGACACGGUCCAGACUCCUACGGGAGGCAGCAGUAGGGAAUCUUCCGCAAUGGGCGAAAGCCUGACGGAGCAACGCCGCGUGAGUGAAGAAGGUCUUCGGAUCGUAAAACUCUGUUAUUAGGGAAGAACAAAUGUGUAAGUAACUAUGCACGUCUUGACGGUACCUAAUCAGAAAGCCACGGCUAACUACGUG